This 301-nucleotide ribosomal RNA is filed under the name uncultured bacterium. RNAcentral describes it as "partial 16S ribosomal RNA". It matches the Rfam family "Bacterial small subunit ribosomal RNA", at positions 509 to 808 of the family's 1533-position model. The record is from RNAcentral.
CAGCCGCCACGGUAAUACGUAUAUCACGAGCGUUAUCCGGAUUUAUUGGGCGUAAAGCGCGUCUAGGUGGUUAUGUAAGUCUGAUGUGAAAAUGCAGGGCUCAACACCGUAUUGCGUUGGAAACUGUAUAACUAGAGUACUGGAGAGGUAAGCGGAACUACAAGUGUAGAGGUGAAAUUCGUAGAUAUUUGUAGGAAUGCCGAUGGGGAAGCCAGCUUACUGGACCGACACUGACGCUGAGGCGCGAAAGCGUGGGGAGCAAACAGGAUUAGAUACCCCCGUAGUCCCUGUCUCUUAUACA